This is a long non-coding RNA of Dendronephthya gigantea, 302 nucleotides long. RefSeq lists it as uncharacterized. The record is from RefSeq and is a predicted model, not a curated record. The transcript has 3 exons. Lineage: Eukaryota; Metazoa; Cnidaria; Anthozoa; Malacalcyonacea; Nephtheidae.
UCAAAAUAUCUUUAAUAUUUUCAUAUUUCCUAUAGUUUUCCGACUGCCUUUCUUUCUCUUCUUAGGUUUAUUUCUCAGUGUAUAUAUUUAAAGAUAAUGUCAUGGUGAAGGUGGCUACACAGCCAGCUGAUAACCCAAUGUCAUUUGUAGCUGACAAAAUAGGAUCAACAACCUAUGAAGAAGUUCCUCAAUCUAAGCAUCUUUCUUUGCCAGGAAAAUUGGUAUUUCCAAGUUACAGUGAUAGAGGAAGAAUGUCAAUGCUAGGACUUGGAGAUAUUGUGAGUUUUAUAAAUUAGGCCACC